Ooceraea biroi (clonal raider ant) is the source of this 267-nucleotide long non-coding RNA. RefSeq lists it as uncharacterized. Lineage: Eukaryota; Metazoa; Arthropoda; Insecta; Hymenoptera; Formicidae. The record is from RefSeq and is a predicted model, not a curated record.
ACUACUAUCUACUACUACUACUUAGGAUGAUUGUCAUGACUGUAGAUGAGAUCUGCAAUACAGGCAAAACAGCUAGGAGAGUUCACACUAGUAACAUCCAGAGGAGAAAAGGUGACGAGUUUCGGAGCACCUAAAUCCACAAUUGCUAUUCACUGAUAUCAAAGUCAAGAAAAAGUUUAAAAAAGAGAAAAGAAAAAAAAACGAGUACAAAGAAUCAUGCAAAACGAGAUCUAUGAGAACAAAAUUUUGCCAAUAAAGAGUAAAAGC